GACAGAUCAGUCAGUACAGCAUGAGACUCUUAAUCUCAGGGUAGUGGGUUCAAGUCCCACGUUGGGCG
Non-coding RNA from Podarcis lilfordi (Lilford's wall lizard), 68 nucleotides. Lineage: Eukaryota; Metazoa; Chordata; Lepidosauria; Squamata; Lacertidae. The record is from the annotation of a GenBank genome assembly.